GAUGAACGCUGGCUACAGGCUUAACACAUGCAAGUCGAGGGGAAACGACGGGGAAGCUUGCUUCCCCGGGCGUCGACCGGCGCACGGGUGAGUAACGCGUAUCCAACCUGCCUCUGACUGAGGGAUAACCCGUCGAAAGUCGGCCUAAUACCUCAUGGCAUCGUCUGCGGGCAUCCAACGACGAUUAAAGAUUUCAUCGGUCAGAGAUGGGGAUGCGUCUGAUUAGCCAGUUGGCGGGGUAACGGCCCACCAAGGCGACGAUCAGUAGGGGUUCUGAGAGGAAGGUCCCCCACAUUGGAACUGAGACACGGUCCAAACUCCUACGGGAGGCAGCAGUGAGGAAUAUUGGUCAAUGGGCGAGAGCCUGAACCAGCCAAGUAGCGUGCAGGAUGACGGCCCUAUGGGUUGUAAACUGCUUUUAUGCGGGGAUAAAGUGAGGGACGUGUCCUUCAUUGCAGGUACCGCAUGAAUAAGGACCGGCUAAUUCCGUGCCAGCAGCCGCGGUAAUACGGAAGGUCCGGGCGUUAUCCGGAUUUAUUGGGUUUAAAGGGAGCGUAGGCCGUGGAUUAAGCGUGUUGUGAAAUGCAGGUGCUCAACGUCUGCACUGCAGCGCGAACUGGUCCACUUGAGUGUGCGCAACGCAGGCGGAAUUCGUCGUGUAGCGGUGAAAUGCUUAGAUAUGACGAAGAACUCCGAUUGCGAAGGCAGCUUGCGGGAGCACAACUGACGCUGAAGCUCGAAAGUGCGGGUAUCGAACAGG
Molecule: ribosomal RNA, 760 nt
Filed under: uncultured Prevotella sp.
Lineage: Bacteria; Pseudomonadati; Bacteroidota; Bacteroidia; Bacteroidales; Prevotellaceae
Description: bacterial SSU rRNA
Rfam family: Bacterial small subunit ribosomal RNA
Source: RNAcentral